Molecule: ribosomal RNA, 246 nt
Filed under: uncultured bacterium
Lineage: Bacteria
Description: partial 16S ribosomal RNA
Rfam family: Bacterial small subunit ribosomal RNA
Source: RNAcentral
AUACGUAGGGAGCGAGCGUUAUCCGGAUUUAUUGGGUGUAAAGGGUGCGUAGACGGGAAGUCAAGUUAGUUGUGAAAUCCCUCGGCUUAACUGAGGAACUGCAACUAAAACUGAUUUCUUGAGUACUGGAGAGGAAAGUGGAAUUCCUAGUGUAGCGGUGAAAUGCGUAGAUAUUAGGAGGAACACCGGUGGCGAAGGCGACUUUCUGGACAGAAACUGACGUUGAGGCACGAAAGUGUGGGGAGC